GUCUCUUUCAGGAGACUGCUCCUCUGGGAGUUUUCUUUUCUGCAAGCCUACAACGCAGGUACCUGGAUUCCAACUGCUGUCUCUGUCCACAAUAAAAGGCCAUGGUCAUGUAGCAAAAUGAAAGUGAAGGAGCUCUUCCAGUACAUCGGAAAGACCAGAAAAGCAAUUCUGUAUGUUUUUGCCUCCUAAUUUUGAUACAAACUGGGAGUAACUGCACUUAUUUCAGGCUCACACAGCAUCAUAUCCUCCUUCUGUUUGGUUAUUAGACAUAAACUUGUCUGUUUUUAUCAAUUUAGUAAUACAUCCUCAUACGUGACACUAAGACUUGUCUGAAUCGCUGGUUUUGAAUCCUUCUUUCAUGUUUAAAAUAUUACCAUUUUGCUACAUUUAUUCAUCUGGGUUUAAGUUUUGGUUACUUCAACUUUUUAUGUUCAUUUUAACUUAGAGAAAAUCAAUUGAUAAAACAUUGCAUUUGUUUACACAUUUUCAAAUUAAUAUGUUAUGUAAAGUAAUAAUGUCAGAUUGAAUCCUGUAAUAUUUAGAUAUGAAAAUGGCCCCGAUUUUUUUUUUUUUUUUGCAUGCUUUACCUCACCAAAACUACUGAUGUAAACAAAAGGCAUCAAGUAUGAAUUUUGAAUUAGAAAACUGAACCUUCAACAACUGAGUCUGGUUGGUACUAACAUGCUGCGUCAAACCUCAUUAAAACCGCCAAUAGAGGACUAUCCUGCAUAUAAGUAUAAUGCCAUAACCCACUACUGCAGAGACAAAGAAGGCUCCAGUUCAUGGCGACCCAAGGGACAAGAUGUGCAGCUGGUCAGACAAGUACAUGAAUGAAAUUUUUACUAAAUUAGUUGUUUAGUAUUU
Molecule: long non-coding RNA, 864 nt
Filed under: Gallus gallus (chicken)
Lineage: Eukaryota; Metazoa; Chordata; Aves; Galliformes; Phasianidae
Description: lncRNA (ENSGALG00010017370.1)
Source: RNAcentral